GUUUUAAUGUUUAGAUUUGUAGAUGUCAACAGUCUAUGGCAGGGAUAGAUCUAGAUUUCUUUCUUUUCUAUUAUUUUUCUUCAGAUUGUUAUGGUUGUUAAGCUGUGUUUGGUUGAUGAGAAAAACGGUGUGGAAUAUACCAAAUUGGUUUUCUUUUCUUUCAAUUUUGCUUUUCCGAGGAUUGUCUGACUUUUAGGGUUUCAUAGGUAGUUGCGAUCUGUUGGUGGGCAUUGGGUUGGUGAGAAAAUGUAGAGAAGGAAAGGGAAGUAAAAGAUUUUUAAAUUCCAUUUUAUUUUCUUUUAGUUAAUUCUCCAGAGUUCGGUGGAAAAUUAACUUAACUAGAGUGGACUGUUGUUUUGAACGGGUCCAGUUUCCUGAAUUUUUGGUUAAUUAAGAAGUAUGAAUGGAAUCAUUAGUAUCAAAUUGUGGUGCUUCGAUAUUGAGCUGGUGGUCUAUUGCAUUUCUAUUUUAAGUAAACCUGUGGAUUUGCGAGGACACAUACCUACAUCUUAGGGAUAUGAAUUACAUGCGAAAUAUGGAUGUUAUUCUCUUAAAUUUUGAUAUGGUUGAUAUCUUAUUUUGCUUGUAGCUAGUCUGUGUUUCCUAUUAAUGUAAUAUUCUUCGCCAAUACUCAUUAAUCCGGCUGAGAUGAAGUUUAUGCUUGGAAAGCCAAUAUAACACUAUCUUAACUAUGUGGAUAAAGUUAUUCUCAAAAAAAGGAACCAAAAAAAAAAA
This 735-nucleotide unclassified non-coding RNA is filed under the name Hevea brasiliensis (rubber tree). The record is from RNAcentral. Lineage: Eukaryota; Viridiplantae; Streptophyta; Magnoliopsida; Malpighiales; Euphorbiaceae.